UGGCAGCACCUGAAACCGUGCCCUUGAUGACACGGGGGCUGCCGAGAGACCGGCGUCGCGCCUCGGUCCUGCUUAGUUGACUGGUGCACGUGUAGCCUCAGGGUUUUGAGCCCUUAAUAGGAAAGGCGAGAGCGGAGGUCAUAGUCACGUCUGAUUAGGUAGCCAAAUGGAUAACAUGCAGACUAAAGUAUGCUGCUGAAACACCAGUGUACGGGCAAGAGGACAUAAACUAAUGCUUUAAGCGAUUAACUAGCUCUAAAAGGCAGACUACCUUUUCUACAGUCCCCUGAUCUAGUUGUUUAUGAUACGGUUUGUCACUGUGACUCUUAAACAUGAAAUUCAGCUUGGAUUUUACUAAAACAUCGCCCCUUGUGAGAAUCAUUUUAUCGCAGCAAGCAUUUAUUUAUUCCCCAGGAAAGCCCAUCUUCUCUUUCUUCCUGUUCUCCUUUCCAUCCCACAUAGAAUACUCUAAUGUGGAUAAUUACACGGAAAAGGUAUAAAUUCACAUGGCAGUAUUCAGACAUUGCACAGAAAAAGUAAUUGUGUGUUAAACCAAACAAGGGAGCAAGUGUUAGAUAUUUGGCUUUCUGGAAUCUACUCUUAUUUGUUGUAAUCGUUCUGAGGAGCCCUGUAAUUCCUUUUUAUACUUCAUGUGCAGAGUUUCCCCAUGAAUAACAAAAGAGUGGUGUUUCUUUGUUACUGAAGUCAUUGCCUGAUAUAAUUUAAUGUUUUAACAUGAGCACAUCAUAUCAACCAUUCAGAAAACAUGGAAAACACAUUUUUUAAUGUUGAAGUUACUGCCAUUAUCAUUUUUCAGUAAUUAAUCUUACCUAACUUUACAGAACUGUUGUCUUAUUAUAAUUAUUUCUUUAUAAUCUUUAUCCUGCUCUCUGAUGCUCUCUUUCUUUUUUUUUUUCCUGAAUUUUUAGGGUCCAAAAAAGAAAAAAAAGACUGUCUCUGUGGAGUGUCUACCAUCAGGAACAGAAAUCUCUUCUGGUGUUACUUCAUCAACCCCAGAUGGAAUCAAACCACGUUAACUGCAAGCAUAUUAUACCUGCAAUACAAUGGGAGUGUUAAUUGUGUAAACAUUGAGUAAAACUGAAUAAAGAUAAUCUGGUCCUUGGCCAGUGGCAAAAACAAACUUAGCAAAGCUGAACGACUGAGAAUUCAGAAAGAAGAAGAAGAAAGAAGACUGAAAGAAGAAG
Molecule: non-coding RNA, 1205 nt
Organism: Struthio camelus australis
Lineage: Eukaryota; Metazoa; Chordata; Aves; Struthioniformes; Struthionidae
Source: RefSeq, a predicted model, not a curated record